UAAGGAAUAUUGGUCAAUGGGCGGAAGCCUGAACCAGCCAUGCCGCGUGCAGGAAGACGGCCCUACGGGUUGUAAACUGCUUUUGCAGGGGAAUAAACCCCCGUAUGUAUACGGGGUUGAAUGUACCUUGAGAAUAAGGAUCGGCUAACUCCGUGCCAGCAGCCGCGGUAAUACGGAGGAUCCAAGCGUUAUCCGGAUUUAUUGGGUUUAAAGGGUGCGUAGGCGGCUUUUUAAGUCAGGGGUGAAAGACGGUAGCUUAACUAUCGCAGUGCCCUUGAUACUGAAGAGCUUGAAUAUACUAGAGGUAGGCGGAAUGUGACAAGUAGCGGUGAAAUGCAUAGAUAUGUCACAGAACACCAAUUGCGAAGGCAGCUUACUAUGGUAAGAUUGACGCUGAGGCACGAAAGCGUGGGGAUCAAACAGGAUUAGAUACCCCCGUAGUCC
Molecule: ribosomal RNA, 444 nt
Filed under: uncultured bacterium
Lineage: Bacteria
Description: bacterial SSU rRNA
Rfam family: Bacterial small subunit ribosomal RNA
Source: RNAcentral